This is an RNA transcript of Perca fluviatilis (European perch), 2159 nucleotides long. RefSeq lists it as uncharacterized. NCBI's taxonomy places the organism in Eukaryota, Metazoa, Chordata, Actinopteri, Perciformes, Percidae. The record is from RefSeq and is a predicted model, not a curated record. The transcript is spliced from 3 exons.
UGCUUCUGGCAAAGGUUGCACUUGUUAAUUUGAGAUUCACGACUUGCAGAUAUAAUUAAAAAUGCUCAGUAAUAUCUUGGUGUUUCAAGGUUUUUGUUAUUAUAACUUCUAUGAAACCUGUUUUAUAUGAUUACAGCUGUUUUACUGUGUUGUUAUUAAUGAUCUGUUCAUACAGCAGCCUCCCCUUGGUCUCCACAGGAUGAGUUAUACAUGUUAACCCCAGCAUCUCAUGCUGGCUAACCCAGGAUGGCGCUGGUAGUGGCAACACGCAUGGCGACACGCAGCAGCAGUGUGUGAAAGCAGUUGUAUUGAAAACUGUGUUUUAAUCUGGUUUUUAAACUACGUGUUUAUUUUGCCAGCUUUUAACCGCGGUUCUUAACCUGUCCUGUCUGUCUUUUGUUACUGUUUUACUAACCAUUACUGGACUGAUCUGCAUACGAACGGAGGCAACAUGAUGACUCACCUGAAUUUGACAGGCCUCUUUUUCUUGUUGACACUGUCAUGUCACUUUUUACGCGGACUUUUGGUGUAUGGAGAUCCUCUCCAGUAUAGUCGGGAGUUCCUGCUGCUUUUGCACAGCACCGGUGUAGGCUCCGUGGACUAUUCCGCAGUUAUCCCCCCAGAGAUCCUCCGGCUACCGGACCCCUAUGCAGUCAACAGGAACAGGGCGCCCCGGACGAAGCCGACUUCGAGGAAAAGAGGGAGACGCGGCGGUGUGCGCCAGAGGCUCAAGAGACAGGGACACAAGCGGAUCCCCCUUCCCACAGUCAUCCUCGCUAACGUCCAGUCACUCCGGAAUAAAGUGGACGAGCUUCAGGCAAACGUCAAGUUCCUGGCGGAGUAUAGCAGUGCCUGUCUUCUCGCCUUCACAGAAACAUGGCUUAAGGAACACGACAUACAGUCUGAUCUGGAGAUCGAUGGCUUCGGAGUUCCCUACCGUUUGGACAGAGACCCUGCAGUGACCGCCUGAGAUGCUGCAGGUUAACAGCACCCAGCUGCAGGUCUUUGACCUCUGCCCUCAGCGACUCCUCUGCUCUCAGAGAACUCAACCUGAGCGAAAACAACUUUGAGGACUGGGGGUUGAAGCUGCUCUCUGAUCGGCUGAGGAAACCCCAGUGUAGACUGAAGAUACUGAGAAAAGACACAGAUGAUGGUGGACCCAGCAUCUCUAACUCCAGUUCUGUUGUCAGUAUACCGACCUGCUCUCAGUCCAUAGCCCCAAAUGUUGCUGCACCUCCAUGUCCACAAGUCAGACCAGCAGUCAUCCAGGACUCCACUGUCUUCAUUGGAAGAAGCAGAAAACAAAAUGCAUUUCAGUUUUCGUCUGUGCAUUCUGAAAGCAAAGCAAUGGGUGACAAUGAUGCUCCGAAGGAAAUGGAGGCACCUGUUACAGCUGUGAAGUGCUUGGUCACAAACACCCUUCCAGCCAUUUCUCUCCUCCAAAUCUCCUCAGAUCCUGGUUGGAGUAGAAGAGACUUCAGCAGCCUGCCUCAUUCUCCCAGCAUGCCUUCACUGAGUCAAAUAACCUCUGAAAAGCACAAGACCUUUACACGAGCUAAAAGCUUACCUGCCAUUCUGUUAAAUACCAGCUUUGAGGAGUUUACACCUGAUAUCACUGCUGAUGAAAGCGAUGAAACCUACAGGUUCCAGUGCUCCUGCCCAGGCCUGUACCAGUGCAGUGUGACCGGCCUGGUGUUCCACAUGGAGGGAGAAGGGGAAGUGGUCUACAGGAUUGUCCCUUGGAAUAGGAGGCUGGCCCAGCAUCACAAGAAGCCUGCAGGACCCGUUUGACAUCAAAUGUCUGCAGCAGUCGGUGUGUCAGCUUCAUCUCCCACACUGUGAGAUCCGUUCCACAGGUGGAUGUGAUUUCUUGUCAGUUGCUCAUGUGAACGAUGAUGGCAUUGAGUUUAUCAGCCCUCAUAGGAUAACAGAAACUUAUGUUAUUAUAAACAUCACAGGGUAUUCAGGUUUCGGUAAUGUCAAGGAUGAAGAUUCACCACCUGACCUGGUCCGAGCGCAGGUUCUGCUGUUCUACAGGCCCCCGGCUGAUCCUGAUCCUGAAUCCCUCCUCAAUGUGUUGUUGCUACCGAGGAAAGUUGUUGUCCAGGAUGUGAUGCGCAUCCGGAAGGAGUUAGUUGGAGAUGAGAGCUACAUAGAGA